This 107-nucleotide small nucleolar RNA is filed under the name Brassica oleracea var. oleracea. Its description in RNAcentral is "Plant small nucleolar RNA R71". It matches the Rfam family "Plant small nucleolar RNA R71". From Rfam's summary of the family: R71 is a member of the C/D box family of snoRNAs containing the C (UGAUGA) and D (CUGA) box motifs. The record is from Rfam by way of RNAcentral. Lineage: Eukaryota; Viridiplantae; Streptophyta; Magnoliopsida; Brassicales; Brassicaceae.
AAGCCAUGAUGUGGGCAUUGAGACCAAUAGCCCUUGAAUUUCUCCCAUGCUUCACUAAAUCCCUCUAGGUUCUUCUGCUGAAAGCUAGAGAUCUCAUUCCUGAUCUU